AUGGAUGCCUGCUGCAGUGGAGAUGAGCAAUGGAUGUCACUGUGGACGAGAGCUUCAGACUGUCAUCUUGUUACAGCUCUUUCUAAUGAUGUGACCCCAGCUCAAAUCCUUGGCCUGCAGCAUGCAACCAAGACCAGGGCAGCUUGUGACUCCUCUUGGCCGUGGAGCUCGGAGCCCUUGAUGGUGAAAUCUGAGGAUGGAGCCCCAGAGGUAACCUCGCCUUGUGUGGUAACCGUGACCAACAGGUGGCCAAAGCUGCUGGAGCACCCUCAUGUCAUGCAUCCACCAAGGAGCCACAUCGUGGUGCAGUGGCUUGGCACGGUGAAGGACAAUAUCAAGAGCUGUUGGCCACCAGGAUGGGGAGAAAGAAAAGGUGCCCUUCUUCACAAAAUGGAGCGUGUUGCAACUGCCUGCAGAGCUGGCUUACACAGUGAUGGGGGCGUACUUACAUUACCAAACAUCGUGAUGACAAGCAUCUUGGGAUCUUCCAAGGCAGUAUUGUUAAGUAAAUCAACAAGCGGCUUAAUGCUCAACAUGUGAAGAUGAGGAAAUUAAAGCACAGGGAGGUUAGAAGCUUACAUUUUCCAAGCUGGGCAGCUAAAG
RNAcentral lists this long non-coding RNA (603 nucleotides) under Anas platyrhynchos platyrhynchos (common mallard). Its description in RNAcentral is "lncRNA (ENSAPLG00000022971.1)". Lineage: Eukaryota; Metazoa; Chordata; Aves; Anseriformes; Anatidae. The record is from RNAcentral.